Molecule: small nucleolar RNA, 95 nt
Filed under: Marmota monax (woodchuck)
Lineage: Eukaryota; Metazoa; Chordata; Mammalia; Rodentia; Sciuridae
Source: RNAcentral
UCCUUUUGUGGCUCACUGUGUAAGAAUUGGUUUCAUGCCACUGUGGGGUGUGCCUCUCGCCAGCCAUGUUAUGAUGUCAGCACAUCACCCACCUG